GGUGGCUUUGGUGGCAGAGGCCGGGGAGGCUUUGGAGGGCGAGGAGGCUUCCGAGGAGGCAGAGGAGGAGGAGGAGACCACAAGCCACAAGGAAAGAAGACGAAGUUUGAGUAGUUUCUUCUAUCCCUGUCUCUCCCUCUUCCAUUUGAAAGAAAAGGACUCUGGGGUUUUUACUCUGUUACCUGAUCAAUGGCAGAGCCUUCUGAGGACAUUCCAAGACAGUAUACAGCCCUGUGGUCUACUUGGAAAUCCGUAUAGAUAACAUUUCAAGGGAGAUAACCCUGUUGGUGUUGACUGGAUAUUCGUAUAAACUUUUUAAAAGAGAUG
Molecule: long non-coding RNA, 327 nt
Filed under: Androctonus crassicauda
Lineage: Eukaryota; Metazoa; Arthropoda; Arachnida; Scorpiones; Buthidae
Source: RNAcentral